Molecule: ribosomal RNA, 459 nt
Filed under: uncultured bacterium
Lineage: Bacteria
Description: partial 16S ribosomal RNA
Rfam family: Bacterial small subunit ribosomal RNA
Source: RNAcentral
GCUACGGGAGGCAGCAGUGAGGAAUAUUGGUCAAUGGCCGAGAGGCUGAACCAGCCAAGUCGCGUGAGGGAAGACGGCCCUACGGGUUGUAAACCUCUUUUGUCGGGGAGCAAAGCGAACCACGUGUGGUUCAUUGAGAGUACCCGAAGAAAAAGCAUCGGCUAACUCCGUGCCAGCAGCCGCGGUAAUACGGAGGAUGCGAGCGUUAUCCGGAUUUAUUGGGUUUAAAGGGUGCGCAGGCGGAGGUGCAAGUCAGCGGUCAAAUUGCGGGGCUCACCCCCGUACUGCCGUUGAUAAUGCAUCCCUUGAGGGCGCGAGAAGUAUGCGGAAGGAGUGGUGUAGCGGUGAAAUGCAUAGAGAUCACGCAGAACUCCGAUUGCGAAGGCAGCAUACCGGCGCGCAACUGACGCUCAUGCACGAAAGCGUGGGUAUCGAACAGGAUUAGAUACCCUUGUAGUC